Heterocephalus glaber (naked mole-rat) is the source of this 1981-nucleotide long non-coding RNA. NCBI's taxonomy places the organism in Eukaryota, Metazoa, Chordata, Mammalia, Rodentia, Bathyergidae. The record is from Ensembl.
CUGGAAGGCGCCUCUCUAGAAGGCGCCUCUCUAGAAGCCACAGCCCUACGACGCGCCCUCCCACUGGCUGAGCUGGCUGUCCAUCACGAAGGGGCGGGACUAGGAGGGGCGGGUCGCGCGCGGGAACCGCGGAGCGUGCGGGCGCGUUCUCCGCCCCAAACCGGCGAGCCGGGCGGAGCCUCUGGAGGAAACGGCGGGGAAGAGGCGGCCGGUCGGCACCCGACCGAAGCAAGAGGCGGAGAAGAGCGGCGCCUGGCAGGCGAUCUUCGGGGCGGCCUCGCGAGACAGGCAGGCGCGACACAGGUGCACAUCUGUAAUCCCAGCCGUUGGGAGGGUGAGGCAGGAGGGUCUCGGGAGUUCAAGGGCAGUCUGCACUACAUAGUGAGACCCCCGUCUGAAAGGGAAAAAAUGGGAAAUCCAGCCUGGGUUACAUGACCCUGGCUCCCCAGGUCAGAGACGACGCCCCAAGAGAGGUCUCCUUCCUCACACCCCGAAAUGGCAUCUGUGGACUUCAAGACCUACGUGGACCAGGCCUGCAGAGCAGCUGAGGAGUUUGUCAACGUCUACUACACCACCAUGGAUAAGCGCCGGCGCCUGCUGUCCCGCCUCUACAUGGGCACGGCCACCUUGGUGUGGAAUGGAAACGCUGUUUCUCGGACAGGAGUCUUUGAGUGAGUUCUUUGAAAUGCUGCCCUCCAGUGAGUUCCAGAUCAAUGUGGUUGACUGCCAGCCCGUCCAUGAUGAGGCCACCCUCGAGCCAGACCACGGUCCUUGUUGUCAUCUGUGGGUCAGUGAAGUUUGAGGGGCAACAAACAGCGGGACUUCAACCAGAAUUUCAUCCUCACUGCCCAGGCCUCUCCCAACAACACGGUGUGGAAAAUCGCAAGUGACUGUUUCCGGUUCCAAGACUGGGCUAGCUAGUGGGGUGAGAAAGGCCUGUGCUGCAGGCCCAGCUCUGUGGAGAGCCCUGUCUCAGCUCUAGGGACGUGGGGACACUGUUUUCUGUUGUUGCCACGAUGCCAUAGAUCACACUGUGCUGAGGCCGAACUCCUACGUUUGUUUUCAUCCCAGGGCACCCCUUUCCUGAGUAUACUCUUGUUUAUUAUAGUUGCCUUUUAAAAGUAGUAAAAGUUUUCUAUUUUUCUAUUUGCCUAGUAGAGAUCUGAUUCUGGAAAUUUGGAAAAUAAAAAGUCAAUUAACAAGUUGCUUCUCUCCCUGUGCUUGAAGUGCUCUACUAGAUCUUGAGCCGGAGGAGGGUUAAAGGGCGGAGGCACCUGCAGGGGCAUGGGUCCUUACCCCCCAGCACUGUGUGCACUCCGGUAACCUGGAGCUGGGAUCACAGCCCGCUGCACACUAGAACCCUGUGCAGCACCCCAGCCUGGUACACCAGAGUCCUAGGGCAGGGUUGGCUGUCUUGAUCCAUGGAUCACUUUCCUUUACCUGGGAAUCAUUGAGCAGGUGGCUGGGCACCCCCCUUUGCAUCUGAACUCAGAGUUGAAUGAUGAGAGCAGAUGAACUACAGAGUUAGCUAGUAAUUGCUUUUACAAGAGCAGCUGCCUUAAACUGAGAAAGAGACUGCUGCUUCAGGGAGCUCCCAGGCCAACCCUGAUUGCAUAAAAUCCUGGAGAAGUGCCUGUCACACCUUGACCAGUGAGUGACAUCUCAUGUGGUAAGAGUCUGCUGGGCUUGGGACAGGGUUGCAGACACUGGAAUGGGAACGUACUGGAGGGAAGGAACUCCUGGUGAGUAGUGGCACAGACAGCAGGAUCUUCCUUAGCACCUCCUCCCUUCUCAGCACCAAGUCCUGAAGCCCAGUGCUUAGAGGGACAAGGGAUCUCUUGCAAGGUGACUUCAGUUCAGCCUGCAGCUAGUUUGCCGUGUUAGUGAAUUCUGGCAGCUCCAUCUCAGGACACCCCUAGAGGUGGAGUCAUCUUGUGCUAGGAGCCUGGGUCCCUGGUGACUGGGAGCCACCAACACAGCC